This 253-nucleotide ribosomal RNA is filed under the name uncultured bacterium. RNAcentral's name for it is "partial 16S ribosomal RNA". It matches the Rfam family "Bacterial small subunit ribosomal RNA", at positions 524 to 776 of the family's 1533-position model. The record is from RNAcentral.
UACGUAGGUGGCAAGCGUUAUCCGGAUUUAUUGGGCGUAAAGAGAACGCAGGCGGUCUUUUAAGUCUGAUGUGAAAGCCUUCGGCUUAACCGGAGUAGUGCAUUGGAAACUGGGAGACUUGAGUGCAGAAGAGGAGAGUGGAACUCCAUGUGUAGCGGUGAAAUGCGUAGAUAUAUGGAAGAACACCGGUGGCGAAAGCGGCUCUCUGGUCUGUAACUGACGCUGAGGUUCGAAAGCGUGGGUAGCAAACAGG